This is a small nuclear RNA of Meriones unguiculatus (Mongolian gerbil), 104 nucleotides long. NCBI's taxonomy places the organism in Eukaryota, Metazoa, Chordata, Mammalia, Rodentia, Muridae. The record is from Ensembl.
AUGCUUCAGCAGCACAUAUAUUAAAAUUGGAAAUGAUACAGAAAAGAUUAUCAUGGCCCCUGUGCAAGGAUGACAUGCAAAUCUGUGAAGCAUUCCAUAUGUUU